UACGUAGGUGGCAAGCGUUGUCCGGAUUUACUGGGCGUAAAGAGCGCGCAGGCGGUCGUUCAAGUCGCGUGUGAAAGCCCCCGGCUCAACUGGGGAGGGUCACGCGAUACUGAUCGACUCGAAGGCAGGAGAGGGAAGUGGAAUUCCCGGUGUAGUGGUGAAAUGCGUAGAUAUCGGGAGGAACACCAGUGGCGAAGGCGGCUUUCUGGACAGUAACUGACGCUGAGGCGCGAAAGCUAGGGGAGCAAACGGG
This 253-nucleotide ribosomal RNA is filed under the name uncultured bacterium. Its description in RNAcentral is "partial 16S ribosomal RNA". It matches the Rfam family "Bacterial small subunit ribosomal RNA", at positions 524 to 776 of the family's 1533-position model. The record is from RNAcentral.